ACGUAGGGAGCGAGCGUUAUCCGGAUUUAUUGGGUGUAAAGGGUGCGUAGACGGGAAGUUAAGUUAGUUGUGAAAUCCCACGGCUCAACUGUGGAACUGCAACUAAAACUGAUUUUCUUGAGUACUGGAGAGGAAAGUGGAAUUCCUAGUGUAGCGGUGAAAUGCGUAGAUAUUAGGAGGAACACCGGUGGCGAAGGCGACUUUCUGGACAGAAACUGACGUUGAGGCACGAAAGUGUGGGGAGCAAACAG
This 251-nucleotide ribosomal RNA is filed under the name uncultured bacterium. RNAcentral's name for it is "partial 16S ribosomal RNA". It matches the Rfam family "Bacterial small subunit ribosomal RNA", at positions 525 to 775 of the family's 1533-position model. The record is from RNAcentral.